CAGCGUUAAGAAGCAGAAAAAAAAUUCAUUUAAAAUAGUGUGAUAAUUGAAAAAACAACAUAAAAUCAGUUAAAAAAAAAAAAACAACAAGACCAACAAAUUAGUGAAGUGUAAAUGACAAUGACACUCACACAGCGGUCGGUUGGUUGGUUGGUUGGUUGGUUGGAUGCAUGGCUGUCUGGAUGGAUGGAUGAAUGAAUGAACGACAGAGAGAGAUAGAGUGAGAAAGAGACCAUAGCUAAUAAAAGAACAUCUUUAUUAUUUCUGUUUGUGCAACUUUGUUUGAAGGUUGCAACAAAAUCCACGUAAUUAUGUUAUUUUGCGCCAAAUACAAUUCUCAUGCACCAUACGAAGGUAAUGACGUUAAAAAGCAUUCAUACUAAUGUCUAUACAUACAUACAUAUGUAUGUAUGCAUGUAUGUAUUGUUCUUUUACCAGCCGGCCGGCUGACAGCAGUAGUUCGGUCACUAACUUAUAAAUGUGUUCUAGAUCUAGUAUAAAAAAUCUAAAUAAUAAUAAUAAUAGCAGCAAUAACAACAAUAAAAAACACUUUGUUAAUAAUAAAAUGUAACGCUUGAAUGCAAUAAUAUUUUAAUUAUUUCUCUAAUGAAA
This 612-nucleotide long non-coding RNA is filed under the name Lucilia cuprina (Australian sheep blowfly). RNAcentral describes it as "uncharacterized LOC124419042, transcript variant X2". The record is from RNAcentral. Lineage: Eukaryota; Metazoa; Arthropoda; Insecta; Diptera; Calliphoridae.